This 253-nucleotide ribosomal RNA is filed under the name uncultured bacterium. RNAcentral's name for it is "partial 16S ribosomal RNA". It matches the Rfam family "Bacterial small subunit ribosomal RNA", at positions 524 to 776 of the family's 1533-position model. The record is from RNAcentral.
UACGGAGGAUCCAAGCGUUAUCCGGAAUCAUUGGGUUUAAAGGGUCCGUAGGCGGUUUGGUAAGUCAGUGGUGAAAGCCCAUCGCUCAACGGUGGAACGGCCAUUGAUACUGCCAGACUUGAAUUAUUAGGAAGUAACUAGAAUAUGUAGUGUAGCGGUGAAAUGCUUAGAGAUUACAUGGAAUACCAAUUGCGAAGGCAGGUUACUACUAAUGGAUUGACGCUGAUGGACGAAAGCGUGGGGAGCGAUCCGG